Molecule: ribosomal RNA, 253 nt
Filed under: uncultured bacterium
Lineage: Bacteria
Description: partial 16S ribosomal RNA
Rfam family: Bacterial small subunit ribosomal RNA
Source: RNAcentral
UACGUAGGGGGCAAGCGUUGUCCGGAUUUAUUGGGCGUAAAGGGCGUGUAGGCGGUUUGGUAAGUCCGUUGUGAAAACUCGAGGCUCAACCUCGAGACGCCGAUGGAAACCAUCAGACUAGAGUCCGGAAGAGGAGAGUGGAAUUCCUGGUGUAGCGGUGAAAUGCGCAGAUAUCAGGAGGAACACCAAUGGCGAAGGCAGCUCGCUGGGACGGUACUGACGCUGAGGCGCGAAAGCGUGGGGAGCAAACAGG